This 338-nucleotide long non-coding RNA is filed under the name Homo sapiens (human). RNAcentral describes it as "non-protein coding lnc-DUSP19-3:1". The record is from RNAcentral. Lineage: Eukaryota; Metazoa; Chordata; Mammalia; Primates; Hominidae.
GUGGUUCCUACAGAGAAGGGUGGCAAGAAGGGCUGUUCUGCCAUCAAUGAGGUGGUGACCCGAGAAUAUGCCAUCAGCGUCCACAAGCCCAUCCAUGGAGUGGGAUUCAAGAAGCAUACCCCUCAGAGCACUCAAAGAGAUCCGGAAGUGUGCCACAAAGGAAAUGCGCGUUGAUACCAGCCUCUACAAAGCUGUCGGGGCCAGGCGAAUAAAGGAUGUCCCAUGUCUUAUCCAUAAGCAGUAGUCCAGAAAACAUAGCGAGGAUGAAAAUUCACCAAACGAGCUCUUAUACUUUGGUUACCUAUGUACCUGUUACCACUUGCAGAAAUCAACAGACA